GCGCCAAUGGUCUAGAGGUUAGGAUCCUCGCCUUCCAAGCGAGGGGCCCGCGUUCGAUUCGCGGUUGGCGCA
This is a non-coding RNA of Aspergillus egyptiacus, 72 nucleotides long. NCBI's taxonomy places the organism in Eukaryota, Fungi, Ascomycota, Eurotiomycetes, Eurotiales, Aspergillaceae. The record is from the annotation of a GenBank genome assembly.